UGCUCAGCAACUCCUAUCCCUACCUCCUCGUGGUAAAAGCCGGAAACUAUGAGCAACCUUAGGGAAGAUCGGGUAACCAACCCCGGUGGGAACUUUGGUCGUAGGCUGACAGGGAAGG
Non-coding RNA from Aedes albopictus (Asian tiger mosquito), 118 nucleotides. The record is from Rfam. NCBI's taxonomy places the organism in Eukaryota, Metazoa, Arthropoda, Insecta, Diptera, Culicidae.